Pygocentrus nattereri (red-bellied piranha) is the source of this 700-nucleotide long non-coding RNA. RefSeq lists it as uncharacterized. The record is from RefSeq and is a predicted model, not a curated record. Lineage: Eukaryota; Metazoa; Chordata; Actinopteri; Characiformes; Serrasalmidae. The transcript is spliced from 3 exons.
AACUGUGGGCACUUCCACCCUGCAGAAUCCAGCUCUUAGGUCUGGGUUUCUGGUGUCUGGUCGAGAGUAACAGUUAUGUAACUAGUGUGCGUCUGAUGCUGACUCUUCUCUCCAGCUUCUGUCUCUCCAGCUUCUGUCCCUGUUGUGUUUUAUUGCUGCUGCUGUUCCUUUUUUCCAUUUUUGCCUUCUCUGCUCGCUGGAUCUUGUUUAUUCACUGGUUUCACGUCGGAACUUCUCCUGCUAGCCACCCAGGGGCCUCCUCCCUUCUUCCCCCCACCCCUCGGCUGCAGCUGCGGUGGGAAACAAGAAAGAUGACCUGUGUGUUGUGAGAAAAGCAGGAGAGAAGAGGGAAAGGAGGAGGAGCCACAGUUUGGAUGAGUUCAUUGAUUUCAGCGCCAACAGGAAAGAGGCUGACAAGUGUGACGUGAGGAAGGAAGACAGGCGGGAGAAAAGAAACAGCCUCAGUUUGGAUCGACUGCAUUCUUGCAUGAAUUAUUUACCUGAGCGAGGGAUGACCAUGUCCAGUCCUGAGGACUUGAAGCUUUCUAUCUGAGAUCUUUGGUCUUUCACUCAUGACUGCACUUUGUAAAUCCAGUCAUGAUGCCAUCUCCUUGUUGUUUCCCCAUGUGGAAAUUUUCUGAAACAGGUGUUUUUUGAUCAUUCCAUUUACAAAAACCAAUAAAGUUUAUAUGGUAAAAUA